Molecule: long non-coding RNA, 895 nt
Filed under: Capra hircus (goat)
Lineage: Eukaryota; Metazoa; Chordata; Mammalia; Artiodactyla; Bovidae
Description: lncRNA (ENSCHIG00000007793.1)
Source: RNAcentral
GAAAGACCGUCCUGCCUGGAGAACUCCAACCCCAGCUGGGAAGAUGGAGACAUACCCCACACAAGGAUACUAAGGCUGGAGGAGCCCUGUCCAUGGUGCUGAAGGAUCAAAAGAAGAGGAUGGAGGGUUAAAAUUCCAGUGCCCUCUGGUCGGGGGCAGAUGUCUGAGGGCAGAGUGGGCCCAUUCAAUCUCCUUGGCCAAUAGAUUGAGGAGGAGGGGGGCUGGGAAGAAAAAGAGGGAGCGGGGAGGACAGCUGUCGGCCGGCAGAGCAGGGACUUAACCUGAGGCUGUUAAAAUGAGUCCCGAAUCGGUGUGCAUGGGUCAGGCAAGGACACAGCCAGCAUUCGAUGCUGCUGCUCUUAGCUCCCUGGCCUGUGUCCCUCAGCUGCACUUGGCCCUCUGAAGAGCAGGCAGGAAUUGUAACAGGGUGAAACCAGGACAGCAGCGCGCAAAGACAUCCAGGGGAAAGCAAUCUCAAAACACAGGAUUUUGCAGCAUGAACAGUCUGGGAUGACCAGGAUGCUGAGAAACCAGACCUGACAGCAGACAGCAAGUCAGAGUGGAUCUGGAGACUCGAGAGAAUGAACACAGCCUGUGCACAGAACUUAGCUUGAAGCCUCCCAGCAACCAUGGCAAGGAUGGAAGCAUGAGACCACGGCAGUGGAUUGUUCCUACCCACAGUUACAGAAAGGAUCACCUCCUAACUAUGAGCUAUGACAGGAAGUUGUCUCAUGUGUCUUGUCACCUCCCUUAAUCUUAAGAAUUUUCCAAGUUAACCUUUAACCCCUUCAUCUUAAUCUUUAGAAAGAAUUUUCCAAGGUUUUUUUUUUUUUUUUAAAAAUCACAUAAUCCUCAAAUGUCUUGGUGUACUCCACCGUCCAGUGGCUUCUUGUCU